GAUGAAGAACUUAGCGAAAUGCGAUAAGUAGUGUGAAUUGCAGAAUUCCGUGAAUCAUCGAAUCUUUGAACGCACAUUGCGCCUUCUGGUAUUCCGGAAGGCAUGCCUGUUCGAGAGUCAUUAACAACCGUUUCGAUCCCUUUCUUUCAGAAAUUACAAAGAGGAAAAGGGUUUGGUUAUGGUGGAGGAGGGAAAGGGAGCGUUUAGCCUGUAAAAAAAGAGGCUGUGUUCCGCCUCCCCCCCAAAAUUGUACAGGCGGUCGUGUGCGCCCACGCAUCGAGGUGUUGUAAAAGCUGCCACGGCACUUUUCACCUGUGCAGUGCGAGAUUGGCCAGCCGGUUUAAAAACCCCUCCAAACAAUCAAAGGUUGACCUCGGAUCAGGUAGGGAUACCCGCUGAACUUAAGCAUAUCAAUAAGCGGAGGA
This 425-nucleotide unclassified non-coding RNA is filed under the name soil metagenome. RNAcentral's name for it is "partial contains 5.8S ribosomal RNA, internal transcribed spacer 2, and large subunit ribosomal RNA". The stretch from base 1 to 120 matches the Rfam family "5.8S ribosomal RNA", at positions 35 to 154 of the family's 154-position model. The record is from RNAcentral.